RNAcentral lists this ribosomal RNA (168 nucleotides) under uncultured Rhodovibrio sp. Its description in RNAcentral is "partial 16S ribosomal RNA". It matches the Rfam family "Bacterial small subunit ribosomal RNA", at positions 337 to 522 of the family's 1533-position model. The record is from RNAcentral. Lineage: Bacteria; Pseudomonadati; Pseudomonadota; Alphaproteobacteria; Rhodospirillales; Rhodovibrionaceae.
UCCUACGGGAGGCAGCAGUGGGGAAUUUUGGACAAUGGGGGCAACCCUGAUCCAGCCAUGCCGCGUGUGUGAAGAAGGCCUUCGGGUUGUAAACCCCUUUUGGCGGGGACGAUGAUGACGGUACCCGCAGAAGAAGCCCCGGCUAACUCUGUGCCAGCAGCCGCGGUA